UUCCGGUUGAUCCUGCCGGACCCGACUGCUAUUUGGGUGAGGAUAAGCCAUGCGAGUUGAAUGGGAUACCCAAAGUUCCCAUGGCAAACUGCUCAGUAACACAUGAUCAACUUACCCUAUAGAGAAAAAUAACCUCGGGAAACUGAGGAUAAUGUUUCAUAGUUGAAUUGGCUUGGAAAAGUUUUUCGACGAAAGGGGUAAAAAGAAUGGUUUUUAUCUGCUAUAGGAUAGGAUCGUGUUCGAUUAUGGUUGUUGGUGAGGUAAUGGCUCACCAAGCCGAUAAUCGAUAGGGGCCGUGAGAGCGGGAGCCCCGAGAUGGGUACUGAGACAACGACCCAGGCCUUGCGAGGCGCAGCAGGCGCGAAACCUCCGCAAUACACGAAAGUGUGACGGGGUUACCCAAAGUGUUCAAUUUUGAACUGUGGUAGGUGAGUAAUGUUCCCUACUAGAAAGGAGAGGGCAAGGCUGGUGCCAGCCGCCGCGGUAAAACCAGCUCUUCAAGUGGUCGGGAUAAUUAUUGGGCUUAAAGUGUCCGUAGCCGGUUUAGUAAGUUCCUGGUAAAAUCGGGUAGCUUAACUAUCUAUAUGCUAGGAAUACUACUAUACUAGAGGGCGGGAGAGGUCUGAGGUACUACAGGGGUAGGGGUGAAAUCUUAUAAUCCUUGUUGGACCACCAGUGGCGAAGGCGUCAGACUGGAACGCGCCUGACGGUGAGGGACGAAAGCCAGGGGAGCGAACCGGAUUAGAUACCCGGGUAGUCCUGGCCGUAAACGAUGCAUACUAGGUGAUGGCACGGCCAUGAGCCGUGUCAGUGCCGUAGGGAAACCGUUAAGUGUGCCGCCUGGGAAGUACGGUCGCAAGGCUAAAACUUAAAGGAAUUGGCGGGGGAGCGCCACAAGGGUGAAGCCUGCGGUUCAAUUGGACUCAACGCCGG
RNAcentral lists this ribosomal RNA (933 nucleotides) under uncultured archaeon. Its description in RNAcentral is "bacterial SSU rRNA". It matches the Rfam family "Archaeal small subunit ribosomal RNA", at positions 1 to 921 of the family's 1478-position model. The record is from RNAcentral.